AUUGAACGCUGGCGGCAGGCCUAACACAUGCCAGUCGAGCGGAUGAAGGGAGCUUGCUCCUGGAUUCAGCGGCGGACGGGUGAGUAAUGCCUAGGAAUCUGCCUGGUAGUGGGGGAUAACGUCCGGAAACGGGCGCUAAUACCGCAUACGUCCUGAGGGAGAAAGUGGGGGAUCUCCGGACCUCACGCUAUCAGAUGAGCCUAGGUCGGAUUAGCUAGUUGGUGGGGUAAAGGCCUACCAAGGCGACGAUCCGUAACUGGUCUGAGAGGAUGAUCAGUCACACUGGAACUGAGACACGGUCCAGACUCCUACGGGAGGCAGCAGUGGGGAAUAUUGGACAAUGGGCGAAAGCCUGAUCCAGCCAUGCCGCGUGUGUGAAGAAGGUCUUCGGAUUGUAAAGCACUUUAAGUUGGGAGGAAGGGCAGUAAGUUAAUACCUUGCUGUUUUGACGUUACCAACAGAAUAAGCACCGGCUAACUUCGUG
RNAcentral lists this ribosomal RNA (484 nucleotides) under uncultured bacterium. RNAcentral's name for it is "partial 16S ribosomal RNA". It matches the Rfam family "Bacterial small subunit ribosomal RNA", at positions 30 to 507 of the family's 1533-position model. The record is from RNAcentral.